Long non-coding RNA from Schistocerca americana (American grasshopper), 203 nucleotides. RefSeq lists it as uncharacterized. The record is from RefSeq and is a predicted model, not a curated record. The transcript is spliced from 2 exons. NCBI's taxonomy places the organism in Eukaryota, Metazoa, Arthropoda, Insecta, Orthoptera, Acrididae.
GCGGCGGCGGGGGCGGGGGCGGAGGCGGCGGCGGCACCCGUCCGCAAGGCCAACAAGGCGCGCAGCAAGCUCUGCGAGAUCAUCUAAUGCCCGCGCGGCUCGGCACGAGAACACUGCAUAUCCCCAGUGACGCUCCCAAAGGAUAGAGAAGUAAGGCUGAUACAAACUAGAGAGGAACUAGAUUUCCAGACUGCUUCACGACA